This 1399-nucleotide long non-coding RNA is filed under the name Anser brachyrhynchus (Pink-footed goose). RNAcentral's name for it is "lncRNA (ENSABRG00000009473.1)". The record is from RNAcentral. Lineage: Eukaryota; Metazoa; Chordata; Aves; Anseriformes; Anatidae.
UAGGCAGAAAACCGCAGUAAAUCAUAGUCAGGUAGUUAUUACUGGCAGUGUAAUGUCUCGUUAUCAAUGCAGCUCUGAUCUUUUGGAAAUUCAGGACAUAAACUAAGAUAUGCCAACAUCUCAGACUAUCCUGGGAACAUAUCCUGCUGAUUCUUACCACAUUAAAUAAUCACGAUUUCAUCUGCCUGUCUGCUUUUAGCCAUUCAUGUCAGGGAACAAGAUUGUUUUAAGCGAUGUCUUGCAGCUAUUUUCUUUUUGACUGAUCAUUUCAUUCAGACUGAAGCAAACAGUCUUCAUAACUUAAGUCUCGUGUAGAUUGCUAUUUGUGCAAAAGAGUACAGAGGGCAACCACAUUGAAGUGUGCCACAUCUUUGAAUGAAGCACAAAGCAACGGUGAGUCUGUUGAACUGUUUGGCAAUUGGUACUUGUCCACCUGAAUUCCACGUAGGACUGACCCUCUUGGAGAAACUGCACCACUAACCCAUCAAAGCCAGAGGGAAAAGAGAAGCUGGAGGGACACCUGUUGACUGAAGAUGCGAUAAAAUUGCUCCCAUCAGCACAGAGGAGGGGAAUUAUUGGAGGAAGGUGUUCAGUGGACUUGUGCAGAUGCAGAAAUAGAACCAAGUUGUUCAUCUUGCUGUUGUAGAGAGCCCAGCAAAUAAAUGCCAACCAAAUGGGAGCCUGGAGCAGAGCUGGCAGAAGAAUAAUUCCAUUUUGUAGCACCUGAAUUUACUUCUCUCCAGACUGGGAGAAAGCAGAAUUUCUGGACAACGUUUUGUGGAUGCAAACAUAUAUUCAACAUAGUUUUGCAUUACUACCUUUAUGAAAUAGAAAAGUCCACCUGCCAUCCAAAGCAAAUCAGGAGCAAAGUAUUUAAUAGCUCGGUAAGUAAGAAAUGUCAUUUUUAUAAGAUUAUAAAGUUUUAUCAGUAAAAAUCUGAAUGCAUACAUUUUAGGUUAUGUGAGCAUUUGCAUCCUUGUAUUAUAUCUUUCUGCAUAUUGAAAGAUAAGUGAAAAGUAAAUUUUACACAGAAGUUACCUGGGUUGUCUUCAGUGGUUAUUCACUGAUGCAGUUCAAUUUUGGUUUAUGGAGUAAGUACAGAGUGCAUAUUCAAUGCAGGAUUAAAGCCUGCUAUUUAAAUUGAGCUGCUUUGCCUUCCUGCCUUAAUUCCCAAUUAGAAUCAGAGUUCUAAAUCUCUUUGAUUUACAUUUUUCUGCAGUGUUCUCCAUUGAGACCGCUAGCCGUCAUCGGUGUUAUAAAUUACUCUUUUAGCCAGAAAGAAUUAGUUUAUUGAGUAAGCGAUCAGCAAGCAAAACAGUGCUGGGCGGCCUGGGAGUCCAUGCUCCUCCAAACGGCCCGCACCCCCCCCGUUUUCACAGUCCUUAUAUCACCCAGUUCU